GACGAACGCUGGCGGCGUGCUUAACACAUGCAAGUCGAACGGGAUUUUCGUGGUAUUUUUUUCGGCACGGGAGACGAACUGAAAGUGGCGACGGGGUUAGCAACCCCUUAGCAAUCUACUUUCUUCAGGGGGCUAGCGCUUGGAAAGGACGAUUACUCCUGCUUGAGACCAGGGAUUGGCAAGUUUCGGGGGUUAAAGAUUUAUUGGCGUAAGAUGGGCUCGCUUCUGGUUAGCUGGUUGGAAGGGUAAAAGCCUACCAAGGCGACGUUCAGGAGCCGGUCUGAGAGGAGGAACGGCCGCGUUGGAACUGAGGCACGGUCCAAACUCCGACGGGAGGCAGCAGUGGGGAAUAUUGCACGAUGGGGGGAACCCUGAUGCAGCGGCGCCGCGUGAGCGAGGAAGGUUUUCGAAUCGUAAAGCUCUGUCCUAUGAGAAGAUAAUGACGGUAACAUAGGAGGAAGCCCCGGCUAAAUACGUG
This 478-nucleotide ribosomal RNA is filed under the name uncultured bacterium. RNAcentral describes it as "partial 16S ribosomal RNA". It matches the Rfam family "Bacterial small subunit ribosomal RNA", at positions 28 to 507 of the family's 1533-position model. The record is from RNAcentral.